This 460-nucleotide ribosomal RNA is filed under the name uncultured bacterium. Its description in RNAcentral is "partial 16S ribosomal RNA". It matches the Rfam family "Bacterial small subunit ribosomal RNA", at positions 338 to 795 of the family's 1533-position model. The record is from RNAcentral.
CCUACGGGUGGCAGCAGUGAGGAAUAUUGGUCAAUGGACGAGAGUCUGAACCAGCCAAGUAGCGUGAAGGAUGACUGCCCUAUGGGUUGUAAACUUCUUUUAUAUGGGAAUAAAAUGUUCCACGUGUGGGAUUUUGUAUGUACCAUAUGAAUAAGGAUCGGCUAACUCCGUUCCAGCAGCCGCGGUAAUACGGAGGAUCCGAACGUUAUCCGGAUUUAUUGGGUUUAAAGGGAGCGUAGGUGGAUUGUUAAGUCAGUUGUGAAAGUUUGCGGCUCAACCGUAAAAUUGCAGUUGAAACUGGCAGUCUUGAGUACAGUAGAGGUGGGCGGAAUUCGUGGUGUAGCGGUGAAAUGCUUAGAUAUCACGAAGAACUCCGAUUGCGAAGGCAGUUCACUGGACUGCAACUGACACUGAGGCUCGAAAGUGUGGGUAUCAAACAGGAUUAGAUACCCGGGUAGUC